RNAcentral lists this ribosomal RNA (116 nucleotides) under Pogona vitticeps (central bearded dragon). Lineage: Eukaryota; Metazoa; Chordata; Lepidosauria; Squamata; Agamidae. The record is from RNAcentral.
UUCUGAUGUAUUCCUACCAGUACACCAAUCUCUUUUGAUCUUGGAAGCUAAGCAGAAGCAGGCCUGAUUAGUACUUGGGUGGGUGACAAUCAAGGAUCUCUAGGUAAGGUUAGGAA